GCGCGAGUGGCGGAACUGGUAGACGCGUACGUUUGAGGGGCGUAUAGGUAUGUCCUGUGUGAGUUCGAUUCUCAUCCCGCGCACCA
Molecule: transfer RNA, 86 nt
Filed under: Bacilli bacterium
Lineage: Bacteria; Bacillati; Bacillota; Bacilli
Description: tRNA-Leu
Rfam family: tRNA
About the family: Transfer RNA (tRNA) molecules are approximately 80 nucleotides in length. Their secondary structure includes four short double-helical elements and three loops (D, anti-codon, and T loops). Further hydrogen bonds mediate the characteristic L-shaped molecular structure. tRNAs have two regions of fundamental functional importance: the anti-codon, which is responsible for specific mRNA codon recognition, and the 3' end, to which the tRNAs corresponding amino acid is attached (by aminoacyl-tRNA synthetases). tRNAs cope with the degeneracy of the genetic code in two manners: having more than one tRNA (with a specific anti-codon) for a particular amino acid; and 'wobble' base-pairing, i.e. permitting non-standard base-pairing at the 3rd anti-codon position.
Source: RNAcentral